This 8320-nucleotide long non-coding RNA is filed under the name Gossypium barbadense (sea-island cotton). RNAcentral describes it as "long non-coding RNA (GBAR_LNC005084)". The record is from RNAcentral. Lineage: Eukaryota; Viridiplantae; Streptophyta; Magnoliopsida; Malvales; Malvaceae.
UCUUUAAUUUACUUGCUAUCCUUUCCAGAGAUUUCCAUCUUUAUUUCCUCUCAAUCCGAAUGUCGUGGUCUAUACUUCUCCAUAGCUUGGCUAACGUGUUCUAGAAUCCCUCCCACCAGGUAACAGCUUUCUCUCCUCUUUAGAGCCUCCUUCACAAUAACAUGAGCAUAAAUAUUCAUUGUUUUAGGGAUAAAAUGAAACCCCAUCUCUUGAAAUCUGUCUUUUGUGCUUUGAAUGUCUUUAAUAAUUGCCCCAAUGGUCGAUUUGUCAAUCUUGGAACUUUGGCAUUUCUUUAUAAAAGUUUUUGAGUCACCCUUUACAUCCAUUUUAUUUAAUCCCAUGAAGAUUCCUAAUUUCACUGUUUGUAACUCUGCUUGAGCCUCUGCCAUGAACGGAGUAACUAUUUCAGAAUGAGUGACCAUUUUCGAUGCUAAGAUAUCCCCCUUUUCGUUUCGUGCAAGCAAGCCCGAAACCGAUCUGGAAUGUUGUUGGUCAUAAGCUGCAUCAAAAUAAACUAUAACCCUUGCUCUGCAAACAUUCUGUUGAAAAUUUUCAUUGGACUGGGCUUUGAGAUUUAACUUUGAAUCUGUUUUGCUAUGUCUCUUCAUGUCGCAGUUCUCCUUUCAUAUACUAACCUAUUCCUGUUGAACCAAAUCAACCAGAGUCCACAACAGAAAAAUCGAAUCUGUUCACUAGUCCCCUGUUCGAAAACCUAGGUAAGCCACUCCCACGUAUUCUGAGUAUUGUUAUUCAGUACCCAAGACAGAUUUAAGUGAUUCCAAGUCUCGACUGUUGUAAGACACUAUCAAAAAAUGUGGUUACUGUUCUCCUCAUCUUGACGACAUCGAGGGCAUUGUGCGUCCACCACCACUUUCCUUUGCUUGAGGUUAACAAGGGAAUGAAUAAAAUUCCAAGAGAUUCUACAAACUGUCAAUGUAACUAUUGAGGGGAUGUGUAAUUUCCAUAGUUUCUUAUAGAAAUUUUUUAUUUCGGUUUGUAUAAAGUAAUUAUUAGGAUCCACGCUAAACUCCUGUAAUAGUUUAUAGGCGCUUCUGAUUGAGAACUCACCGGACAGUUCACCUCUUCAUAUUUGUAAAUCUUCGUAUGCUGUCUCUACCAGUGGAAUCUGCAUGAUUUUCCUUGCAAAAUCCAUACUAAAGGUAUUCAUAAUAACAUCUGUUUUCCAAGUUCUAGUAGUGGCCUCUAUUAGAUCCGAAACUAACCUGAUAUUUUCAUUAUUUUCAUGGUUUUGUAAUCUGUCUGCUUCAUCCCCUGAUAUCCACAAAUCAUCCCAGAAGAAAAUAUAGUUCCCUUUUUCAACUCUCUAGCAUAUUGCAUAUUCCUUUCUCUAGAAUCCCUCUUACUGCCCAGACACCCUUCCAGGUAAACGAAGGUAACGUUCCUAACCGAGCAUUAUAAAAAUCUGAGUUAGGAUAAUAUAUUGCAUUCAAAACACGAGCUAAUAACGAAUUUGGAAAAUUAAUAAGGAGCUAACCCUGCUUUACUAACAACGCCACAUUAAAAUUUUCAAGAUUCCAAAAACCAAGUCCCCCAUCUUCCUUCAAUGAGCAUAGUUCUUUCCAAGCACACCAAUGAAUGCCUUUUUUUGUCUUGACCUUUCUGCCACCAAAAUUUGGCUAUAAUGCCCUCCAAUUCAACACAUAGAGGCUUAGGAAGAAGAAAGCAAGCCAUAGUAUAAGUAGGGAUGGAUUGAAGAACUGCUUUUAUGAAAACUUCUUUCCCCCCUUGAGAGAGGUGCUUUAUGCUCUAAUUGUCGAUUCAUUUUUUAAAACUGUCCUUCAAAACUUGAAAUGACGAUCUCUUUUUUCUUCCCACCAUAUUAGAAGCCUUAAGUAUUGUUCUGGAUCUGUUGACCUUUUUACUCCAAGUACAUUAGAGACUGUUAUCAUUUCCCUAUCUUGUGUAUUUGUGCUAAAAAACACUGUUGACUUGUCAUAAUUAAUACACUGGCCAGAACACUUUUCAUAUUCAUUCAAAAUUUGUUUUAAAGAAUGCGCUCCUUCUUUAGUAGCUUCUAUGAAUAAAAUGCAAUCAUCUGCAAAGAGUAAAUGUGAGACAGAUGGCCCACUUCGGCUAGUUUUUACUAUUUUGAUUAUUCUUCCUCCAAUUGCAAUCCUCAUAAGACUUGAGAGGCCUUCCCCGCAGAAUAAAAACAAAAAUGGACUUAGAGGAUCUCUUUGUCUUAAACCUCUACUGGGAUGAAACACUUCCCCUAGCUUUCCAUUGAACACCACUGAGUACGAUACUGUAGACACACAUUUCAUAAUCGAAUCAACCCCUUUUGGAUCAAAACCUAUUUUCUUCAUUGUCAUCUCCACAAACUUCUAUUCAACUCUAUCGUAUGCCUUACUCAUGUCUAAUUUCACUGCCAUAAACCCUUUUUUCCCAGUCUUCUUGUGUUUCAGAGUAUGUAAAAUUUCAUAAGCUAGUAACACAUUAUCAGAAAUUAACCUCCCUGGUACGAAAGCACUCUGUGCUAAAUCUAUACAUUUAUUAAUUACUACCCGAAGUCGACUUGCUAUGACCUUAGCUAUCAAUUUAUAUAAAUCACAUUACAUAAGCUAAUUGGUCUAAAUUAAGUAAUAUUGGAAGGAUUUAAAAUCUUGGGUAUUAGCACAAUAUUUUUUUUGUUGAUCGAACUCAUUUCCAUACCUUCAUUCAGUCUUUGAAGACAAAAAUCUGAAACCUCAUCUCCCUGAUGAUCAACCAAUAUUUUUGGUAGAAAAAUGUCGGAAAGCCAUUGUCUCCUAGUGCUUUAGUGAGACCCAACUCCAUUAAAUCUUCUCGUAUCUCCUCGUUAGUGUAUCUUUUUUUAGCCGAUAAUUGUCAUCUUUAGUAAUACAACAUUUCAUUCCUGAUAAAAUUCGAUCAUAUAAUUUAAGUGGUCUUUCUAUUCCAUCCACUGUUUGCAACAAAGUGAAGAUAUUUCAAAUCCAUAUUCCAUUAUUAGAUGCCUCAUAAUAGGCUGUAAAUGUAACACUCCAAAGCCGGCCUAGAAGUUUAAGCAGAAUUUAGAAAAGUUGCAUCAACGUAUUGAAAACUAAUUUCAGUAAGUAUUCAUAAAACAUUCAAAUCCUUACUUGAUUUGUAGCUGAAAUCUUUUUAGAGUUUUAACUUUGAAAACCAAAAAUCCAUUUUAGUCGACUUAAGUGAUUUUGUAGUUUCUUGUUAGAAAUUGUCAAUUAUUGACGUGGUUAGCAAAAAGCAAGGCGAGUUCAGAUACAGAUUUCAAACCUAAAAGAUCAAAUCAUAGUUACAUCAGUGCAAAAACAAUUCGAGCUCCCAUAUGCUGUUCGAUCCUAAGUCAGAUGUUUACCUAAAUAGAUAAGGAUAAGACAAAGAGGUGAGCUACAAAGCACAAUAUAUAACCAAACGCAAAUACAAAUAAAUAGAUCACAACAUAUAAAUCAUAGUAAUACAAAGAACUCAAUAGCGACCAUAUAACUAGCAUAGAACAAAUCCAGAGUAUCACAGAGAUUACAACAAUGGUAGUACAACAUAACAGAACAGAGCAGAACAAAGCAGAGCAGAAUAGAACAAAGUAGAACAAAACAACAAAUAUAUGUCUAUGUCGUUACAGUAUUUUUUUCAAAACCAAUCAGAGUGUAGAUUUAUCAGAAAACAUCCUACCCAACUCCGCUACACACCAAAAUAGAGUUCCCUAGAACUCGUACAACCAAAUCACACCAAUAGAUAACUAUGGACAGUGCUACCUAAAUUUGCAAUUAAAAAUGCUAGAUCAGAUACAUGUGGUCAAGCCACAAUAUUGCAGUCAAGUUGCCAAAACUGGAUUGUGGAUAAACCACCAGAUAAUACAAAUCAUUAAACUGCCAGAAACUUCCUCCUUUCAUGUCAUCCCAAAUCCCCUGCAAUAUGUCAUAGCAAGCAUAUAAAGAGUCAUAUUAAUAAGCAUGUAGGUCAUGUUAUCGUACAAUAACAAAAUCAGUAGGCAUGGGAGUCCAUGUUUUGUAAAACAGAUUUAUCAAACCUCUAUAGAUCACAUCAGAUUGCCAUAAAGACACAUGCAUUGUUAUAAAUCAGAAUCAAUACCAAUCAAUUCAACAUAUUUGGAUAUCACAUAUUCUUAAUCAACAGAGUAACACAUGAGCAUACCAUCAGACUUAAUAGAAUACAGAUCGUACCUGGAUAAUUCACAUACCUCAACGCAUCCAAACAGGGGUACAUUAUACAUUAGCAAUCAUCUUUACUUAUCUUAAAUCAAAAUAGAUAUACGUACAAAUAGCAGAUUAUUCACUAACAGAUCAACAAUUCUUGAGUUUUGUAACUUAAUACAAAUCAUACAGACCCUACGGAAGGCCUACCUUCGAUCCAGACGACGUUCACGACCCUAGGGAAUAUUUCAGAAUUUUGACCCAUACGCUCGUAUGGAUCCACACAACUUGGGUGUCUGGCCCGUGUGGUUCACACAGCCUAACACACACCUGAGUGAACCUUUCAAAGACUCACACGGCCAGUCACAAAGCCUCACACACGGCCAUCUGGUCCUAAACAAUGAGUUACAGGCUUGGACACACGUCCGUGUCCCUAGUCCGUGUAACCUUAAAUAAUGCCUCACACGGUCUACCAUACUACCUGACACAUGGCUGUGUUACGCACACGGCCUAACACUCGACCGUGUGGCGUCAAAAGCCAUGUUUUCUGGCAUUCAUAAAUUGUAGAAAUUUGGAUUUUUGUUACCUACAUGUUAUGGAUUUGAUGCAGAAGCAACAAGGAUGAAUUCUCGUCCCCUAAAAUGACAUUAUAACGAAAAAUUGGAUGACUUAUUCAUAAACAAAACGAUAAGAUUAGCAUCCAAAACUGAAGUUAUGUCGAAGAACUAUCGACACAUAACCUUAAAUCGAAACUUACCAGCAACUGAAUUGAACCAGGUAAGAGAAGUCAAACCUUGUCCAGAAUCAAUUUGAUGUAAGUUAGCAAAAAUAAAGGUAAUUCGAAAAGAAGAAAUCAAAAUGAAGAAAAAGAAAGAACAAAUGAGGAAUGGCAGAAAAGAUAUGGAAGAAGAAAAAAAGAAAAGAAAAAAAAAGGUGAAACCACACAAGAGGUUUCUGGGAAGUUUAAUUAACUAACAAAAAUAACUACCACACGGAACAAUUCAAAAUGAAACAUUUCCCUAUUGCUUUCACAAUAAUUCAAACACAAGACCAAAGGGUACACAAAAGCUUAACCAUUGAACCACUAGGGUCAUUGUUGUCAACAAUUGAUCGAAAUUAACUUAUAACUCACAUGUCCAAAGAUAGGGUUUUAAUUAAAAAUAGAAAAAUUUCAAGAGACAGGAAUCGAACCUCGAACCUCACAUUCAUAACUGGAACACUUAACCACUAAACCAAAUCAAUUUACUUAUAAAAAAAUUUCCAAAAUCUAGACUCAAAAUCGAGAGACAACCACUCUUGAUUUCAAAACUCAAUUUCUUUUAACCCGGUUUUUGGGAUGUCACAGUAAAUUUAGUUGCCAUAGUGGAAUGAGCUAUGAGUGUAUGUGUAACACUCUACUAAAAGAUACUCAUCCAGUAAACAAAUAAACAUAACUUGAUGUAGAUUUCAAAUAAUCUUAAUAUCCAAAAAAAUUGAAUUUUGUAUACUAAAAACUUUCUAACUUAUUAGAACUCAUUUAUGUGAGAAUUGACCAAAAUCCUUUCUGGGUAAAAAUUACGAUUUUACAUUUUUUAUGCUACUUAGCACAAUUUCUUCCCAAAAUUAAAAACUUGGUUCAAUCUAUGUCAUAACUUAUAAUAAAACUUUAUUAAAAAUAUUUUGGUGGUAAAACUUGGACUUUUACCCAUUUUCAGGUAAAAAUGAGAAAUUUUUAAUUUAGUCCCUAUAUUUUUUAAUCUUUUUCAGUUUGGUCCCAAAUGUAAUUUUCAUUAUACCAAUACAUAUUUUAACUUAUACUCACGCCUAUUAAUCAAUAUUAACUUAAUUUUCACAUUUUGGGCAAAUUACACUUCAAUCCUCAAACUUUUUAAAAUUUGUGAUUUGGUCUUUUCAUCACAUUCUCACUUGUAAAAUUCUUUUCAUUAAUUUUCAUAUCCAAAAUCACUUUAUUAUCAUAAUAUUUCUUUUUAUCUGAUGAAUUUUUUAAUUUUCUUGAAAAUUCACUAUAUAUAUUAUCGAAAUAGUGUCACAUGUCUAGUCGAAAAUUUUGGGAUGUUAUAAUCUAAUUUACUAAUGUUAAGUAUAAAAUUCUUUAGUUUUACCAAUAUUUUAAGUUUGUGUCUUUUAAAAUUGCAUCUGAUUUCCUUAUUUACACAUUUUACUUAGUUUUUAACUAAUUCAUUUUACUUGUUUUUUGCCUAAGAAAGAUUGAGAAAAUACUCGAAACGAAAGGAGAUCUAAAUUAAUGCAUGAUAUUAUUGGUUUAGAUACUUUGUGAGAUCAAGGAGCUUCGAACUAAUGUUGGAUAGGAUUUUAGUUCGUUUAGUUCUUAUCCUCGCAGUUUUGGUAUCAAACACAGAGUUGCAUACCCUCACUCUUUGAAAUAGAAAUGGGUUAUUGGAUCGUAAACACAAAAAAAUUGUUGCAUGUGGUUUAACUUUCUUAGCAUAGGCCUCCCUACCAUUACCUCAUUGGUAUGAUGCAUUUUCCACUAAAACAUUAAGUAGGAUGUCUCCUUUUGAAUGUUUACACAAGAGGAAACUAGAUUUCAAGUUUCUGAAUUUAUUUAGCUACAUAUGUUCUACUUCUCUCACUCCCUAUAACAAGAAUAAGUUGGCUUAUAUGUCUACCCAUAUACGUUCUUCGGUUAUAGUGAGCAUCAUUAUAGUUAGAAGUUUAUGGAUUCCUCUAGUUGAAUAUACAUCUCUCAACACAUUUGAUUUCAAAAGCGUAUGUUUCCAUUUUAUGCCACUAAAGAUGUUACCAGACUGUUCUCUAAUUCUUGUCCUAUGGUCACUACAUAGCUUCCACUUGUUUCAUCAUCCACUAUUUCUACAUUUGAGACUUUUUUUACCAAACAAGUUUAUCGUUCUCCUGAUAGUACACUCAAACUCUAGUCUUUCAAUUUCUUCUAUGGUUGGUGACUUCUCUUAUCUUUCUAGUGGCUCAAUUUCUCCCUUGGUUUAUAAUAUCCCUAAUGCUUUGUCUGUGGCUAGUAAUCAUCAUCAUAUGAUUAACUAUACCAAGUCUUGUAUAUUUAAGCCAAAAGAUUUCUUAGCAACUAAAAAUUUUGACGAACCACCUAAUGGGCACAUCACUAUGCAACAUCAACAAUGGCACUCUAUGGCUUGUACCAAGCCCCACAAGCUUAGUUUCAAAACUUCACACUUUUUUUCUUACUAAUCUUGGAUUUAAAGCUUCAAUUGUUAACCUUUCUUCCUUUUUUUUUUCUUCUAAAAACAACAACUUAUUAUGUGUUAUUGUUUGCCUAUGUCAAUGCCAUAAUUGUUACUGGUGAUAGUUUUAAAGAUGUUGAAUUGGCUAUUCAACAUCUUAAUCAUAAGUUUUGUCUUAAGGAUCUUGGAUAACUUAAUUACUUUUUGGGCAUUGAUGUAACACCCCAAAAUAUAUAGGGUUAGAUGAAUUAAUUAACUAAGAAAUGAGCCUUAAUUUUGAUGGUUAAGAGCUUAGUAUAUUACCUAGAAAACCAAGGUUUAAGCCACACUCUUCCCAUUUUUUUUCUUUUUUUAGCAACCAAGGUACAAAAUCAUACUAGGAUAUAUAUUAGUUUUGGUAAAAAUAUAUCAAGUGUGGGUAAGAGCCCAAAUGGUAAGGCCUUUGUAUAGUUCUCUUUGCUUUUAGGGUUCAAAUCACUCUACUUACCCUUUAUUUCCCUUUUAUUUACAGAAAAAAGGGGAAAUUUGUCAACCAACCCCUCCAAAUUUGAAACCCUAGAUAUUGAACUUCUUUUCUAAUUACAAUAGAACUAUAACUUUUUUCUCCAAAUAAGAUUGAAUUUUUACUCUUCUUUUUCUUAUUUAUUUUCCUUAUUUUUCUUCAUCUUUUUCUUUGUAAUUAUUUCCUUUACAUUUUUGAAAUUAUUUUUGCAAUCCUGAAUCUAAAAUUGGUCAUAAUUCAACCGUUUUCCUUAUUAAUUUAAUGAAAAAUUGAUAAUCUCAUCUUUAAUCCUAGUGAAGAAUUGGUAAGUACGUUUUAAUUCUGAUACUUGAUCUCAAAAUUCUACAAAAUACCCGCCUAUUGAUAAUCUUGCAAUCGUUAAAACAAUCUUUCCCAGUUUUUAUCAAAUCUUUCAUUAACCUUAGAAAAUGUUGAAAAUCAUUAUUAAUUCUCGUGUAUUUUCCUGUUGAAAGACUCAUUGUAGGUAUCCCGAAUCAGAUUUGGACGUG